CCUGCACACACCUUCUUGCCUGCUGCCACAAAGACGUGUCUUGCUUCCCCUUCGCCAUCUGCCUUGAUUGUGAGGCCUCCCCAGCCACGUGGAACAACUUUGCUGCUCUAUUGCCAAACUACUCAUAUCCCCCUGUUACUGUGAAACUUGGUGAAAUUCCUCAGGGAUUUUGAGACAUCAAAGCAAAAAAGGAAAUGAAGCAAGAAUGAGCAGUAGUGGCUGUCUAUUGUGCUGGUUCAUCAUCAGAAACUUAAUUACAUAAGUGUAUCUGUGGAUGAGUGUUAAUAAACUUCCAUUCAAAUAAAAUAAAUCAAAAUUCUGCUACUCUUAGCAAUUAUAUUUUAAUUAAAAUCCUGAUCACAGUUAGUAACUGUAGUUGUAUAGUUGACAAAAUAAUCACUAAAGGGUGUAAAUCAUCUAGAUACUUGUCUAACAUAGAGAACAUGAUAAUUAGUCCAUUUGAUAAUAGAUUAGAAGUUUCACAUAUGUCAUAAGAUGAACACAGGGUGGUUCUCAUUUUUUACUAUUCCAGAUAGGUACCAUUAUGAAGAGUAUGCCAAUUUUAUUAAGGUCCCACAAACUCAGUGUUACCUGACUUAAGGUAUUUUCUCUCUAAAGAAAUAAGGGCAUAAAUAUAUUGUUCUUAAAUAUCUUAAAUUAAAAUGUUCUAAUGUGGAAAAGCCAUCUUUCUGUGACACUCUCUGCCUCUCUUUCUUCCUCUCCCCUUCUCUCUCUCACACACCUAUAUGCACACACACACUCCACACUCACAAAAGCAUAUAAUUCCAACAAAACAAGGCAAAAUAUUGACCAAACCACUGAAUAACAUUCACUGGACCAACC
RNAcentral lists this long non-coding RNA (843 nucleotides) under Homo sapiens (human). RNAcentral describes it as "HSALNT0316253". The record is from RNAcentral. Lineage: Eukaryota; Metazoa; Chordata; Mammalia; Primates; Hominidae.